UGUUUCCCACAGUGUUUCCUCAUAACCUCUUUGGACUGAGCACCAGGGCUGUUUCCUAGUGAAGAAGGCCAAAUCACAAGAGAAGAAAAGAUUGAUCUUGAGUGCUGGGUAUUUUUCGCUCACCACAUUAGCUGCCAGUUUUCCAGGCUAUCCCCCCAGGACUGAGAUGAGGUGAGAGGUGCUUCAAUGAACGAGACAGAAAAUAUCAAUUAUUGAUGAGAAUAUGGAGCACUUGGAGUUCUUAUACACUGCUAGAUGGAGUGCCAAAUGAGUACAAGCUACUCUGCUAGUACCCUGCAAGCUGAACCUAAUCAACGAGUUGGCAAGUCUACUCCUAGGGGAAGCCUGCUGCCAGGUCACGUAGCCCCGUGGAGACUCCUGCAUGGUGAGGAACUGAGGCCUGCCCAAAACCACAGGAAUGAUCUUGGAUGUGGAUCUUCCAGCCCCAGAUGAAAACAUUGAAACUAAAGAAUGAAACACGUGCUGGUCAAAGUCACAGCUCUCUGAAGUAUUAGAGCUGCAACUUGAACCCAGUCUGUCUGGAUAAUUCCAGUAAGCCAGGCUCAGUCGAAACUUGAGUAAACAAAUGUUCUUUGGUCUUAGGUGGAAAUUCAGAGAUGAAAAGGCCAAGUUUCCUGUCCUCAAGAAAUUGCUGGUGUGAUCAGGUCGAGUUGUAAAAAUAUGAUCCACCAAGAACCAAGAUCCCCUGGAGAGGAAGCCAAUUUGCAGCCCUAAAAAGAAGCUAAAAUUGAACGCAUAUUAUAAUUCAAUGCAUUAUUGAAUGCAUGUAACGAGGAAAACCACGUUCAGAAAUGUGAGCCAAUUUGACUCAGAAUCCAUCAAGCCAUAUUACCACCAACCUCCAUGUCGUCCGACAAGCAUUUGAGUGGCUUCCCUGUACAAGGUAAGUCUAAUGCUAAUGUGAAAGAUUUUAGCAAAUUAUAAAAUGAUGAACGAAGAUCUCGUAAUUUUUUUACUAUUCCUCUCAAACAGUCCUAUGAGGCUGGUUAUUAUCAUCUCCAUUUUAUAGAUGAGAAAUACGCAAAGAGCAUGUAAACAUUGCUGAGCUGAGGCUGGCUUCCUGACUCCUCAUCCUGGUCUCUGUGUUCUACAUUCACUAUGUUAGGGAUAU
Molecule: long non-coding RNA, 1132 nt
Organism: Leopardus geoffroyi (Geoffroy's cat)
Lineage: Eukaryota; Metazoa; Chordata; Mammalia; Carnivora; Felidae
Exons: 7
Source: RefSeq, a predicted model, not a curated record